UUUAAUCCUGACGCUCGCCAGAGAAUAACCAAACCCUUUUUAUUAUAUCGUCUGAGUAAUUUAUAAUAGUUAAAACUUUCAACAACGGAUCUCUUGGUUCUGGCAUCGAUGAAGAACGCAGCGAAAUGCGAUAAGUAAUGUGAAUUGCAGAAUUCAGUGAAUCAUCGAAUCUUUGAACGCACAUUGCGCCCCUUGGUAUUCCGGGGGGCAUGCCUGUUCGAGCGUCAUUUCAACCCUCAAGCUCAGCUUGGUAUUGAGGCCAUAUGUCGGCAAUGGCAGUCUCUAAAAUCAGUGGCGGCGCCAUUGGGUCCUGAACGUAGUAAUAUCUCUCGUUACAGGCUCUCAGUGUGCUUCUGCCAAACCCCAAAUUUUUCUAUGGUUGACCUCGGAUCAGGUAGGGAUACCCGCUGAACUUAAGCAUAUCAAUAAGCGGAGGAA
This 438-nucleotide ribosomal RNA is filed under the name uncultured Sclerotiniaceae. RNAcentral's name for it is "eukaryotic LSU rRNA". The stretch from base 74 to 227 matches the Rfam family "5.8S ribosomal RNA". Lineage: Eukaryota; Fungi; Ascomycota; Leotiomycetes; Helotiales; Sclerotiniaceae. The record is from RNAcentral.